GAUGAACGCUGGCGGCGUGCCUAAUACAUGCAAGUCGAGCGAACAGAUAAGGAGCUUGCUCCUUUGACGUUAGCGGCGGACGGGUGAGUAACACGUGGGUAACCUACCUAUAAGACUGGAAUAACUCCGGGAAACCGGUGCUAAUGCCGGAUAACAUUUAGAACCGCAUGGUUCUAAAGUGAAAGAUGGUUUUGCUAUCACUUAUAGAUGGACCCGCGCCGUAUUAGCUAGUUGGUAAGGUAACGGCUUACCAAGGCAACGAUACGUAGCCGACCUGAGAGGGUGAUCGGCCACACUGGAACUGAGACACGGUCCAGACUCCUACGGGAGGCAGCAGUAGGGAAUCUUCCGCAAAGGGCGAAAGCCUGACGGAGCAACGCCGCGUGAGUGAUGAAGGUCUUCGGAUCGUAAAACUCUGUUAUUAGGGAAGAACAAAUGUGUAAGUAACUGUGCACGUCUUGACGGUACCUAAUCAGAAAGCCACGGCUAACUACGUG
Molecule: ribosomal RNA, 497 nt
Filed under: uncultured bacterium
Lineage: Bacteria
Description: partial 16S ribosomal RNA
Rfam family: Bacterial small subunit ribosomal RNA
Source: RNAcentral